CGGCGGCGGCGCACGCUACAGGACGUCGAAUGUCUCGAGUGCUUUGCCCCAGCGAGCAAACACUAGUUUCCGGUACCAUAAAUUCCGGAAAAUAGUUCGCGUACCAUCAUCAUGUAAACAGCGACGUUAGAGCCGGAGGAGCAAAGAACAAGCGUUAUUUAAAUACUCAAAUUAUUCCAAGCGUUUCUCGGUACAAGAUUUAUUUCCCUCGUUCCGAGAAAAGAAACGCGGCUGUAAAAUUCGCGGUAAAUUUUUCAAGCAAUUCCGCUUAAGAACAAAUUAAAGCGUGGUUCAAGCAUUCGUUGCUAAGAAUACGAUUCGGAUCGGAACCAAACGAAUCCGUUAUGCGCAAAGAAUACUCUUUAUUCGAAUUUGUAUGUUUCAAACAUACAAACAGGUACUCGAAACAGGACGUACCGGUUAAAUAGGUAAUUGGAUUUGCGAAAUCUUUGAAUGCGAUUCAUGCGGAAACAUUCGCGGUAACGAUUAAUAAUGAUUAGCAUAGAUUAGCGGAGGACAAUUGGCAACGUCAAUUACCCGAUUUCGCGUACGUUGAUAACAUCCAUUAUCCGUUAAAUUAUUUGGCCGCGGUUCACGUAAUUAAAGGGCGAAUCGCAUUAUCGUAACGAUUCCAGGGGGAAGACAAUGGAGACCGAUGGCCGGUCGAUAAAAAUCAGAUCGCGCGAGACGAUGUCCCACUUACGUUAGGCUUCCUUGUUCGAACAAGCCUCGGCCCGUCCUCGCGUCAUUCGGAACGGGCAUCCUUGCUCGAGCAGAAGUUAUAAUAAAUUCAAAGCGAACGAGGACACGACGCGACGCGAAGUCGAGUGCCGUCGCGAUUUUGCAUGGAAUAUUCCACGUACAAAUUCAAAGCUGCGCCUUCAAUCGGCUUUAAUAACGCGGACCUGCGUGUGUACAGAACGAAACGCGAGAACAACAUCGCGGACCAAACGGAUGGUAAAAAGAAGAUUUACAUCUCUCUAUUGACAAAUCCUUCGGCUUUCAACUGUGAACGAAAUAUAGAAACAUUAGUAACAGUGCUUUUCACAAGUUGUAUGAAUAGACUGGCAUACGUGAAAACUGAAUAUCGUGCAACUCUGAUGGACGACGGGCUGCAGUCGAACGUAUGAUUAAUAACCCACAGAAAUAAUUAGGAUGAUUUUCGAGAAGCAUCAUCUGGAAAAACGAAGAGGAGCACCGCCACUCGCGUUGGAGAGAAGAUAAUGAAUUACCUACCCCCUCGGGUGUUAUUAAGAUGAACGCCGAGAGUUCUCAAGGGCAGGAAAGAAACGGUGGUUCUUUAAUCACAUUAAGUAAAACGUCUUUGUAGUCUUCUACCGAGCUCGGAAUAAACAGCGUACCAAUUUUGAUUA
Ceratina calcarata is the source of this 1373-nucleotide long non-coding RNA. RefSeq lists it as uncharacterized. The transcript is spliced from 2 exons. The record is from RefSeq and is a predicted model, not a curated record. NCBI's taxonomy places the organism in Eukaryota, Metazoa, Arthropoda, Insecta, Hymenoptera, Apidae.